AGGAUAGUUUUGUCAGAUUGGCUACACGUCAACUAAGAUUGUUAGGAUUGUGGUUACACAGCUAAAAGGAUAAGAAAAGUUAGUUUCUGGUGACUUAGCUAUGAAACUAAGGUUGUAGCAUAAAUAAUAGUCUCUCUAUAAUUCUCAUUCAAUCAAUACAUUCAUAGCAGUUCAUUCUUCGUUCUCUCUCUCUCUUCUUUCUUUCUUUCUUUCACUACAUUCUUCUAAGAAGGUUUUCUUUGCUUUCUUCUUCCUUUCGAGAUACUUAGCUUAGUGUUAAUAUGGUAUCAUCGGCGGUGGUCGUUCCCUGGUGGUUCUGUGUUUUCCGAUUGAUUACAAGUUUUUUGCUGUUCGUGGAGAAGUUUUGGGGUUUGAAUUCUGCAAUUUCAACAACGAAAGGUCUUCUGGGAAUGCCAACUGUGGAGCAAAAAAUAAUCCCAAAAAUUCUAGAGGCGGCAUAUGAACUUUUAAUCAAGAAGGACAAGAUUGCCCUCACUUCUCAGAUUCUCCCACACGCAGCUCACAUUCCUGAAGGACUUAAAGAUUGACUCCAAUAAAGUGCAUUUUUGUCCAAACUGAAGACAAUGAAAAUUCAUUGACAAAUUGGUGCUUUCAUUGAGAGAUAAUUCAAGAUACUCGAAGAAGCCUCUCGCAUUAGUUUCUUGAAUUUUCCGUUACGUUGAAUUUCUCACACGUUGUAUGAAUUAAUUUUUCCUAGAAAAGUUUCUUGAUCAAUCCCUGGAGAAGGGAUACAAUGGUAGGAAAUUCAGAAACUACGACGAACGGAACCCCAUACGUGGAAGGAUUUGGACCGGAGAAUGGAGACGAGGGCAUAGCCCCACCACGGAGAUCCUCAAGGCUCAACACGAUGGCAGGAGGAGCCCUAUUGCCGCGGAGCUGCACCACCACUAUCACCAUUGUGACCUAGCAUCCACUAGACAUGACAUUCGUGUCGAGUUUCUCGUGUUCGUGUUAUUUUCGUGUCAUACUCGAUAGCUUAACGGGUUGUGUCGUGUAAUACCUGUUAAAGUAAACGGGUAAUAUGAUCUGACCCGUUAAGAAAAAUAUAUUUUAAAUCAAUAAAAAUGAAAAUGAAAAACAUAAUUUGACCCAAAAAAAUGUAAAACAUAAUACUAAAUUAGUAUAUACAUACUACAUUUCGGAGUUGACCCUUUUAUGAAAGUUGUAAAGCUUUUCAUUAUGA
Non-coding RNA from Malus domestica (apple), 1204 nucleotides. NCBI's taxonomy places the organism in Eukaryota, Viridiplantae, Streptophyta, Magnoliopsida, Rosales, Rosaceae. The record is from RefSeq and is a predicted model, not a curated record.